RNAcentral lists this long non-coding RNA (3188 nucleotides) under Mytilus galloprovincialis (Mediterranean mussel). The record is from RNAcentral. Lineage: Eukaryota; Metazoa; Mollusca; Bivalvia; Mytilida; Mytilidae.
CUUGAUUAUCGUACAGUUUUAAACAUGUUCUUUACUGUUGUAUACAAUGAUAUCAAGUACUCUUACAUGAACUCAAUUUCAAUGACAAACCAUUAAAAGCAGCUUCUAACUUUUUUAAAUUACGUUAUUUGAACUUUUGUUUUAGGUAAUAAAAAUUUUUGCUAGGAGACAAGCCAUGCCAAGCAGACUGUAGUGUAUUUGGUAUGAUUGGUAAUGCAUACUGGCAAUCGUUCGGGAGUCCAGCAGAAUCAGCAAUCAAAAGUAAGUAUCAUAUCAAAAUGUCAUGAUUAUUAUCAUUUGUGUGUCUUCCGAACGAGGACAUUCAUUCCAAGAAAACACAGAAAAUAAAAGAUGCAAUUUAUAAAAUGAUUGACAGUUUCCUUUUAUUAUUUGAAUCAUUAUCAUUUAUACGAACGUUUUACUAAUGGCGUGUCCCUUUUUAAUCUAUAUGCAUUCUAUAUGAGUACGACGACUUAAAAACUUACAGAACACAAACAUUUUAUCAAAUAUCUACUUUUGUUCUCACUUUUGAACUAUCUAUUAAUUGUGAAUUCAAAGUUUUUCUUUAAAAUGGAUUCUGUACGGAUAGAUAAAGAAUGCAUCUUAUAGCAUAGACUAAUACUAAUAUCAUACAUGGUUAGCUGUCUUUAUUUCAAACAGCCCGUUAUAAAAAAAGUUCUAUAAAAUAUAUAAUCCAAUAGACUUUCUGUAGAUUUUUUUUUAUUAUGGAAAUGUAUUAAUUUGAACACACACUAAAAACAGUGUAAAGUUAUAAGGUUUCUUUCUUUUUUUUUGUUACAUACAUUAAUGGCAAAUAGAAAGAACUUAAAAAACUAUGUACAAUAUUUGCUCAUAAUUAUUUUUUUAAUACUUUUUAGAUGUGCAUUAAUUGAUGACGUAUAAAAGUAUGUCAAGUGCAAUGAAAAUUAAUCGAACGAAAGCAAAAAAAUAUGUACAAAAUGUUUUGAAAUAUGAAUUUAUCAAAAUUGAUUAAUGAAAUAUAAAAGUAUGUCUCAAAUAAAAUACAUCAAAAUCAAUGCAAGUGCCAUGAAAAUUAAUUUUUAUUUUCAGAAUAUAGAAACUUGUGUGACUAUUGUCAAAGGAUGAAGGAGACAUUCUGGCCUGACUGGGACGAAUGUAUUUCUCAUGGAUUUACAAAAGAGCCAACUAAAUAAUUAUUUUUGUGAAUAGCUUCUCUGUAUGUACAUGUAUUAGCUUCUCUGUAUAUACAUGUAUUAGCUUCUCUGUAUAUACAUGUAUGAGAUCAUAACAAUUCGGUAUGUAAAUAUGAAAUAAUUUUUUUGCUUUUCUAUUACUAUGAUUGUCAAUUGGUGAAAACGAACUUGGAAGUGAAUGGAUUUGAUUGGUUGUAAAUUAGAAGGUAUAAUGAUCCAUUAUCUAGUCCUCAAAAUUUAAAACAUAAAAUUAUUUCAUCCUUUGACGAUGAGAUCAUUUGUAUUGAAAUGAAUGUAGUGAUAUAGUUUUGACGCUUCGAGUAAGAAAAAUAAUGUUUGUUGUAAUUUUGCUAUGACAGUAUAAUUUUUAAAAAUUUCGUUUUCCGUGUUUACUUAGAUUUUGACAAAAUUCAAAAAAUGCUUCAUCCUUACCUUCAUACAUUGUAUGUUCGUUGAUAUCGACGGAUUAAAUUUCACUCAGGUAUUUUUAAUUAUUCAAAAUACUGAAAAGUCAUCGAUCCCAAUCUCAACCAUUCUCAUUCAGCUGUUUUGUACUCGAUCAUAAACUAAAUCAUACUCAAAGACAUGAACUAGUACCCAUUCUUUAAUCAUUCCCAACAUAUACAAUAUUUCACUAUUUUUUUUACUCAAAAGAAUUCAAUAAUAAAACAAAAUAACAGAUGUGUUUCAUUGCCAAUGACACAACUCACCAACAGGAACCAAAUGACGAUAUUCAUUAAUCGAUCUCAAUAUUUUAGCACUAAAAUGCGAGAAAUGUCUAAAAUAUUGAAUAAAUUUAGGAGUCGCCAAUCCAACUUCAUGUAUACAUGUAACUGUCUGCUAACACUGAGUCGCCAUAUUGUGCAUAGUUUACUCUGUUACCUUCUCUUAGAACUAUUCGGAACAAAGUUGAUGUGGACAGAAAUAUCGAAACACUUUCUUUAGACAUCCAUUGGAAAUCUUACCGGCUCACUCCGUUUAGAAAAAAAACCCAACCUCGACGACAACAUGGUACUAAAAGGAGGGGUGACGAAAAUGACUCCUGAAUUAAGGAUGUGUUUAUCUUUAUAAGCCACAAGGAUAAAAAACAACAGUCAACCUUAGCCAAAAUAACUAAAAUAAAUUAAAAUGCUUUUUGAAUGCACUCUUAAAAAAAACAGUGCCCCACAAUGUUCUUCGAUGUUAUGAAAUUAAAUUUCUUUAACAAUCAAACAUGCGGACUCAAACACUGUAAUAUACAAGAAACCCUCUUUCUUAUACUUAUCUGAACGUGCCUUAGAAGAGCAAUCCUUACUGUUCAUGCACUACCAUCAAUUCAGACAUUUUAUAUGAUUUCAUAACUAGUUCAACUCAACUUUGCUGGCUUGUUUCAAUUUGAGAGACGGGAUGAGUACAAUUUAGUUGAAGGUAGAAGUCAGAAUACACAGUUUGAUUUUUGUAUUUAUCAACAACAACACUAAAGAAUCAUUUGUCCCCCGCCAUCCCCUCAAACAAAAAGGGCACUGUCAAAAAAUACAUCAGCAUGACCAAUCACCUGCUCAUGAUUUGCACUUUUUGCAAAAGAAUGCAAUAGAUUAAUGUAAUUGCAUGUUACCGAUGACAAUGUCCAAGUAUUUCGGAAUAACCAUCUUCAUUCUAAUGUGUUGAAAGCCAGAUCAUACAUCAUCGACAAACAAAGCAUCUUGAGCAUAAAUAGAAUAGUUUAAACUGAUUGCAAUUAAUUCGGACAUGUGUUUCUUGAAUACCAUUUGUACGCUUGAACAGAUUAUUCAACAAGAAAACACACAAAACGUGUAAAAGCACCAUAGAGCAGAUGAAUAUUUACGACCAAUUUGAUACAAAGAAGAAAUGACUUAUGAUUAUCCAUAGUUUAAUUUGAAGUAUUCGAAGGUCGUAAUUAUGACAUACCAAGUUGUAAAAAUUCGUAAUAGCAGGAAAAGCAAAACACCUUUUGUAUAUUACCAAUACUUUCAUAUAAAUUAUAUUGCAUUUUGAAUAUAUGAAGUAAAUCUG